RNAcentral lists this ribosomal RNA (447 nucleotides) under uncultured bacterium. Its description in RNAcentral is "bacterial SSU rRNA". It matches the Rfam family "Bacterial small subunit ribosomal RNA", at positions 331 to 795 of the family's 1533-position model. The record is from RNAcentral.
CCGGACUCCUACGGGAGGCAGCAGUGGGGAAUAUUGCACAAUGGGGGAAACCCUGAUGCAGCAACGCCGCGCGAGUGAAGAAGUAUUUCGGUACGUAAGGCUCUAUCAGCAGGGAAGAAAAUGACGGUACCUGAUUAAGAAGCCCCGGCUAACUACGUGCCAGCAGCCGCGGUAAUACGUAGGGGGCAAGCGUUAUCCGGAUUUACUGGGUGUAAAGGGAGCGUAGACGGCAGCGCAAGUCUGGAGUGAAAUGCCGGGGCCCAACCCCGGAACUGCUUUGGAAACUGUGCAGCUCGAGUGCAGAAGAGGUAAGCGGAAUUCCUAGUGUAGCGGUGAAAUGCGUAGAUAUUAGGAGGAACACCAGUGGCGAAGGCGGCUUACUGGACUGUAACUGACGUUGAGGCUCGAAAGCGUGGGGAGCAAACAGGAUUAGAUACCCCGGUAGUC